This 467-nucleotide ribosomal RNA is filed under the name uncultured Chloroflexota bacterium. RNAcentral's name for it is "bacterial SSU rRNA". It matches the Rfam family "Bacterial small subunit ribosomal RNA", at positions 355 to 837 of the family's 1533-position model. The record is from RNAcentral. Lineage: Bacteria; Bacillati; Chloroflexota.
UAGGGAAUAUUGCACAAUGGGCGAAAGCCUGAUGCAGCAACGCCGCGUGCACGAUGAAGGCCUUCGGGUCGUAAAGUGCUUUUCUGGGAGAUGAGAAAGGACAGUAUCCCAGGAAUAAGUCUCGGCUAACUACGUGCCAGCAGCCGCGGUAAAACGUAGGAGGCGAGCGUUAUCCGGAUUCACUGGGCGUAAAGCGCGUGCAGGUGGCUUGGUAAGUUAGGCGUGAAAUCUCCCGGCUCAACUGGGAGAGGUCGUCUAAUACUACCGGGCUAGAGAACAGAAGAGGAAGAUGGAAUUCCCGGUGUAGUGGUGAAAUGCGUAGAUAUCGGGAGGAACACCAGUGGCGAAGGCGAUCUUCUGGUCUGUUUCUGACACUCAGACGCGACAGCUAGGGUAGUAAACGGGAUUAGAGACCCCGGUAAGUCCUAGCCGUAAACGAUGUGAACUUGGCGUUGGUGGGUUAAACU